CUACGGGAGGCAGCAGUGAGGAAUUUUGCGCAAUGGGGGGAACCCUGGCGCAGCAACGCCGCGUGAGUGAUGAAGGCUUUCGGGUCGUAAAGCUCUGUCAAGUGGGAAGAACCUAUGCAGUGUUAAUAUCACUGUAUACUGACGGUACCACUGAAGGAAGCACCGGCUAACUCCGUGCCAGCAGCCGCGGUAAUACGGGGGGUGCAAGCGUUAUUCGGAAGCAUUGGGCGUAAAGGGCACGUAGGCGGCUUGGUAAGUCAGAUGUGAAAGCCCGGGGCUUAACCCCGGAAGUGCAUUUGAUACUGUCAGGCUUGAGGAUGGGAGAGGGAAGUGGAAUUCCUGGUGUAGAGGUGAAAUUCGUAGAUAUCAGGAGGAACACCGGUGGCGAAGGCGACUUCCUGGACCAAUACUGACGCUGAGGUGCGAAGGCGUGGGUAGCAAACAGGAUUAGAUACCCGUGUAGUC
Molecule: ribosomal RNA, 465 nt
Filed under: uncultured bacterium
Lineage: Bacteria
Description: partial 16S ribosomal RNA
Rfam family: Bacterial small subunit ribosomal RNA
Source: RNAcentral